CACAUGCAAGUCGAACGGAGCUGAGAGGAGCUUGCCUUUCUUAGCUUAGUGGCGAACGGGUGAGUAACGCGUGAGUAACCUGCCCUGGAGUGGGGGACAACAGUUGGAAACGACUGCUAAUACCGCAUAAGCCCACGGCCCGGCAUCGGGCUGCGGGAAAAGGAUUUAUUCGCUUCAGGAUGGACUCGCGUCCAAUUAGCUAGUUGGUGAGGUAACGGCCCACCAAGGCGACGAUUGGUAGCCGGACUGAGAGGUUGAACGGCCACAUUGGGACUGAGACACGGCCCAGACUCCUACGGGAGGCAGCAGUGGGGGAUAUUGCACAAUGGGGGAAACCCUGAUGCAGCGACGCCGCGUGGAGGAAGAAGGUUUUCGGAUUGUAAACUCCUGUCGUUAGGGACGAUAAUGACGGUACCUAACAAGAAAGCACCGGCUAACUACGUGCCAGCAGCCGCGGUAAAACGUAGGGUGCAAGCGUUGUCCGGAAUUACUGGGUGUAAAGGGAGCGCAGGCGGACCGGCAAGUUGGAAGUGAAAACUAUGGGCUCAACCCAUAAAUUGCUUUCAAAACUGCUGGCCUUGAGUAGUGCAGAGGUAGGUGGAAUUCCCGGUGUAGCGGUGGAAUGCGUAGAUAUCGGGAGGAACACCAGUGGCGAAGGCGACCUACUGGGCACCAACUGACGCUGAGGCUCGAAAGCAUGGGUAGCAAACAGGAUUAGAUACCCUGG
Molecule: ribosomal RNA, 727 nt
Filed under: uncultured bacterium
Lineage: Bacteria
Description: bacterial SSU rRNA
Rfam family: Bacterial small subunit ribosomal RNA
Source: RNAcentral